AAACUUUCAACAACGGAUCUCUUGGUUCUGGCAUCGAUGAAGAACGCAGCGAAAUGCGAUAAGUAAUGUGAAUUGCAGAAUUCAGUGAAUCAUCGAAUCUUUGAACGCACAUUGCGCCCCUUGGUAUUCCGAGGAGCAUGCCUGUUCGAGCGUCAUUU
RNAcentral lists this ribosomal RNA (158 nucleotides) under Acanthostigmina multiseptatum. Its description in RNAcentral is "Acanthostigma multiseptatum 5.8S ribosomal RNA". It matches the Rfam family "5.8S ribosomal RNA". From Rfam's summary of the family: 5.8S ribosomal RNA (5.8S rRNA) is a component of the large subunit of the eukaryotic ribosome. It is transcribed by RNA polymerase I as part of the 45S precursor that also contains 18S and 28S rRNA. The record is from RNAcentral. Lineage: Eukaryota; Fungi; Ascomycota; Dothideomycetes; Tubeufiales; Tubeufiaceae.